Molecule: ribosomal RNA, 433 nt
Filed under: uncultured bacterium
Lineage: Bacteria
Description: partial 16S ribosomal RNA
Rfam family: Bacterial small subunit ribosomal RNA
Source: RNAcentral
AACGAACGCUGGCGGAAGGGCGAACACAUGCAAGUCGAACGAGACCUUCGGGUCUAGUGGCGCACGGGUGCGUAACGCGUGGGAACCUGCCCUUAGGUUCGGAAUAACUCCCCGAAAGGGGUGCUAAUACCGGAUAAUGUCUUCGGACCAAAGAUUUAUCGCCUUUGGAUGGGCCCGCGUUGGAUUAGCUAGUUGGUAGGGUAAAAGCCUACCAAGGCGACGAUCCAUAGCUGGUCUGAGAGGAUGAUCAGCCACACUGGGACUGAGACACGGCCCAGACUCCUACGGGAGGCAGCAGUGGGGAAUAUUGGACAAUGGGCGAAAGCCUGAUCCAGCAAUGCCGCGUGAGUGAUGAAGGCCUUAGGGUUGUAAAGCUCUUUUACCCGGGAUGAUAAUGACAGUACCGGGAGAAUAAGCUCCGGCUAACUCCGUG